CUAAGAAUAUUCCGCAAUGGACGGAAGUCUGACGGAGCGACGCCGCGUGGAUGACGAAGGCCGAAAGGUUGUAAAGUUCUUUUGCUGGGGAAGAAUAACCGCAGGAGGGAAUGCCUGUGGGAUGACAAGAACCGGCGAAUAAGCCCCGGCCAACUACGUGCCAGCAGCCGCGGUAACACGUAGGGGGCGAGCGUUGUUCGGAAUUACUGGGCGUAAAGGGCAUGUAGGCGGCUUGGAAAGCCUGGCGUGAAAGUCUGCAGCUUAACUGCAGGGGUGCGCUGGGAACUGCUGAGCUUGAGUGACGGAGAGGGAGCUGGAAUUCCUGGUGUAGGGGUGAAAUCUGUAGAUAUCAGGAAGAACACCGAUGGCGAAGGCAAGCUCCUGGCCGAUGACUGACGCUGAGGUGCGAAAGUGUGGGGAUCAAACAGGAUUAGAUACCCUGGUAGUCCACACAGUCAACGAUAUGCACUAGGUGCUGGGGCGGUAGCUUCGGUGCCGGAGCGAACGUGGUAAGUGCACCGCCUGGGGAGUAUGCUCGCAAGGGUGAAACUCAAAUGAAUUGACGGGGUCAUAGCUG
Molecule: ribosomal RNA, 577 nt
Filed under: uncultured bacterium
Lineage: Bacteria
Description: partial 16S ribosomal RNA
Rfam family: Bacterial small subunit ribosomal RNA
Source: RNAcentral